RNAcentral lists this ribosomal RNA (495 nucleotides) under uncultured bacterium. RNAcentral's name for it is "partial 16S ribosomal RNA". It matches the Rfam family "Bacterial small subunit ribosomal RNA", at positions 28 to 507 of the family's 1533-position model. The record is from RNAcentral.
GACGAACGCUGGCGGCGUGCCUAAUACAUGCAAGUAGAACGCUGAAGGAGGAGCUUGCUCUUCUGGAUGAGUUGCGAACGGGUGAGUAACGCGUAGGUAACCUGCCUGGUAGCGGGGGAUAACUAUUGGAAACGAUAGCUAAUACCGCAUAAGAGUAGAUGUUGCAUGACAUUUACUUAAAAGGUGCAAUUGCAUCACUACCAGAUGGACCUGCGUUGUAUUAGCUAGUUGGUGGGGUAACGGCUUACCAAGGCGACGAUACAUAGCCGACCUGAGAGGGUGAUCGGCCACACUGGGACUGAGACACGGCCCAGACUGCUACGGGAGGCAGCAGUAGGGAAUCUUCGGCAAUGGACGGAAGUCUGACCGAGCAACGCCGCGUGAGUGAAGAAGGUUUUCGGAUCGUAAAGCUCUGUUGUAAGAGAAGAACGAGUGUGAGAGUGGAAAGUUCACACUGUGACGGUAUCUUACCAGAAAGGGACGGCUAACUACGUG